GGGCUUGUGGGUUAGUUUGGCCUAUACUUGACGGCUGGGGGCCGUUAGACCCAAGUUCAAAUCUUGGCAAGCCCACCA
Molecule: transfer RNA, 78 nt
Filed under: bacterium
Lineage: Bacteria
Description: tRNA-Pro
Rfam family: tRNA
About the family: Transfer RNA (tRNA) molecules are approximately 80 nucleotides in length. Their secondary structure includes four short double-helical elements and three loops (D, anti-codon, and T loops). Further hydrogen bonds mediate the characteristic L-shaped molecular structure. tRNAs have two regions of fundamental functional importance: the anti-codon, which is responsible for specific mRNA codon recognition, and the 3' end, to which the tRNAs corresponding amino acid is attached (by aminoacyl-tRNA synthetases). tRNAs cope with the degeneracy of the genetic code in two manners: having more than one tRNA (with a specific anti-codon) for a particular amino acid; and 'wobble' base-pairing, i.e. permitting non-standard base-pairing at the 3rd anti-codon position.
Source: RNAcentral